Molecule: long non-coding RNA, 879 nt
Organism: Phlebotomus papatasi
Lineage: Eukaryota; Metazoa; Arthropoda; Insecta; Diptera; Psychodidae
Exons: 2
Source: RefSeq, a predicted model, not a curated record
UUCAAAUAUAACUUUUAAAAAGUAAAUCGAGUAAAUGAGAGUCAAUUUCAUUUAAUUUUUAAACAUUUGCUUUUAAAUCGGCAGGCGGAGAUUUCACGCAAUCCUACAAGGAUCUUAUGUCUGUGAUAACCUAAUGCUGCAGUAUAACCUGGGAAUUAUGGAAAAAAGGAUUCAUCCAAACGCGAAUUUGUGCAAUAUAUGGAAAGCUGCGAGCGGACUUCAAAAAGUAGGAUUUAAAAGAGGAGGUCUUUAGAGUUUACAGCUGCCCAUAAUAGUCAAUACGCAAAGCGUCAAAGAAUAAGAUCCGGUUCUCCCGUGAAAACCAACUGCCAGAUUCAACAGUCAAAUUGAAAUAUCAAUUUCAUAAAAUUAAUAACGCUAAAAAAGUUUUCGAGAAUACCUAAAGUAAUUUUUUUUAUUUUCCUGUUUAUAAGAUUUGUAAUUCUUGAGGAUAAUUAAUGUUUUCCUUUUUUUGUUCAUAAGCUUUUCAAUUCACAAAGUCCAUAAAUUUACGUAAUUGUUGACGUUAAACUAUUUUUUUAAAUUUUCAAGUCAAUUCUCGAAGUUUUCCUAUUUUUCUAUUGAUAAGUUUUUCAAUUUAUAAACUUCAUAAAUUUAUGAAAUUUUUGACUUCACCUAAUUUUUAAAAAAUGUCCAAAUUAGUUUUCGAAGUCAAUUUUUUCAUAUUUUUUUAUUUAUAAAUUUUACAAUUUAUAAAACUCAUAAAUUUAUGAAGUUGUUGACGUUAAACUAUUUUUUAAAAAAUGUUCAAGUUAAUUGUCGAAGUUAUUUUUUUUCUUCGAUUUUUUCUUAUUAUUGAUGUUAAAAUGUUCAAAGAAAUUUAAUAUACCUUAAUAAAUAAUUUUUUUUAAUAAUAAA